Molecule: RNA transcript, 3186 nt
Organism: Frankliniella occidentalis (western flower thrips)
Lineage: Eukaryota; Metazoa; Arthropoda; Insecta; Thysanoptera; Thripidae
Exons: 3
Source: RefSeq, a predicted model, not a curated record
UCACUCGGCAUCAGACCAUGUACCCCGUCUACUACUACAGCGUUGAGAAGAAGGUCGUAGAAAGCAUCGGCGUUGAGCUUAAAAACAAAUGGAAUGAAUACUUUCCUUUCCCAGACAGCGACCAGCCGGUCAUUGUGGUGUUGCAUUUUUGGAGAGCGUGAGUCAGUCGUCGUUUAGAAGUCUAGGUGAACGCACCGCAUAAUGGCGGGCGAGAAUCCUUAUUUUGCCUACUAUGAAGCACAGAUGGGAAGCGGGGCUCUGCCCUACUACCACUCGCGCUUUACUGUGCAAGGCGGCCGCGGUUGGAUAGGGAACCUGUUUCGGGGCGCCUGGUCGUACCUCCGUCCUCUGCUGGGAACUGCAGGGGCCGAAGCGGUGCGCACUGGGACCAAUAUUGUUCGCGAUGUUAUGGCGAAUCCUAGCGAACCGAUUAAAGAAAUUGCAAAACGUCGUGGUCGCGAAGGGUUGUCGAACCUCGCACACCGAGCCGGAGAUUCUUUGUCAGGGCGGGGAGUACGCGUCAGACGCAAACGUUUGGCUCAGAAGCAGCUCGGACGUCGUGGGAGAAGGACCGCUGCAGUGACCGCUCCGCAGUACCGUCGCAACCUCGUCCCCGCCAUACGUGACCUCUUCUCCCCGCCCUCACCAUGAUGGACGGCAGUCUUGUUCCGUGCAUGAUUGGCCAACUCGAAAUCUUCAAAAAGAAGCCGGUGCAGGCCUGUAUUAAGAGGCGCGUCGUUGAGAAGCAUAAGCCGCUCGCAACAGGGCGUGGAUUUCCAGAUGUCGUAGAGUGGGUUAUUCCUGGGAGGCCUCUGCACCUCCCUAAUAUCAAUGCGACAAAAGUGCGCGCCGUCGUCCACAUGAGAGUAAAAUCUACCGGUGCGAAUCUGAACCCUGAUGACGAAAAAUAUUCCGUUGCGGAUUGUACUCUGCAUAGUCUGUUUGACCAGGCUGAAAUAUUCUUGAGUGAGAAAUCGGUGACUAAAUCACCGCAACACUACUCCUACAAAAGUGUGCUCGAUUUGUACUCUACGGCGGGCGCAGACGCUCGUAACGGUCCUUUGAGCACCGUGCCGGUGAUUCCCGAUGAAAAUGAUGCGUCGAGCUCAAACGUUAAUACAAAUCCUGGGUUUAAGAAAAGAGAGGUCCUUUUCAAAGGGUCAAAACGUGUGGAACUCAUAGGGAAACUCCGCGCCGAUGUUUGCAAUAUGGAAGAUGGUGCAUACAUUGUAGAUAAUGUGUCGUAUCGAGUGCGGCUUACUACAAACCGCCCCGAAUUUUUCCUGUGGUCAAAUGCCUCAGCACCAGAUAUUGAAUUUGUUGUAGACGAUUUCGAGCUAUGGACAGAGUACUAUGUUAUCAAUCCCGAGCUGGGGAUAGGCAUCGACCUUGCUCUGUCUAAGCAGCCCGCUCAGUACCAUUUUAAGAGUUCUCAAAUUAAAGUCUUUAUUCAUCCUGCGGGUUCCCAAAAUAUUGACGUUCCUGUGGCGUUUAGCGGAAAGCUGCCGUCUACCGUGAUGACCACGUUCUGCAAGGCAGAAAACUUCAACGGCGACCUUAAAAAGAAUCCCUAUGAUUUCCAUCACGAGGGCGUUACUGAACUGUCCUUCUUUUGUAAUGGUGAGGAGAGAAGAUUCCUCAUGAACAUGGACCUUGAAAUGGGUUGCUCUACUGUUCUCCACACCCUUUAUUCUGAGCUGGGGCUCGAAAUGGAGGAAGCAGCAGGGCACGCCUUCACGAUGCCUAUGAUGAGAAAGGGGCGGUUCGCCUGUGCUGUGGACCUUACUAUUGAUCAUUCGGGACGGGGGCCUUCCCAGAACAUGGAUCAGUAUGGGACAGUAAGGCUCCAAGGUCGGUUUAGUACCGCACCCGCCACGAGCAUUUGUAUUAUUAUGUAUGCUCAGUUUGAUUCUACGCUGGAGAUUACUAGUGCGAGGGAAGUCAGUGUAUACUAAACCAUGAGAGACUUCAAAUCCCCUCUGACUACGCUUGAUGUGUUGGGCGUGGCUCGAGCACACCCCGCUCUAAAGAGGGUGCAUGUAGGAACGUACCCGCUGGACGCUCUGCCCGAUUUAACUGUAACGGGUCGCCCCCGACAUUUAGUUUUUAAUUUGUCUCCUUCGACUAUUCCACCCGGUUCUCACUGGGUUUCUAUAUGGUUAAGCGGCGACACGACAGCUGAGGUUGUGUGCAGCCUGGGUCAACGGCCGACAGCGCCAGAAAUUUUGAAUUUCCUUCGACGACACGCGAGCCGAGUGGUGUUUAACACUACACGCCUCCAGGCUCGAAAAAGCGCCGCGUGCGGACUGUACUGCCUGAGUCACGGUCUUGCACGUGCGCGCGGAAUAAAUUUGGCAACCUGGCUGAGCAGAUUUACGAAUUGUCCUCGACAAAACGAUCAAAUUGUAUAUUGUGAGUUUAUGCGCGAGAUGGCGUUCCCCUCCCUCUUUUCCCCUCGGCUGCGCAAUUGGAGAUGUUCUCUUGCGCGCGCUUGCCGCUCGUCAGUACUGUGCGAGUAGCGACCGAGGACACAUCGACGCGUCAUGGAGCAUCAAACCGGCGUACAAGUUCCUGUGGCUGCCGCCGUGGAUUACUUUGACACCGAGGCGCUGGAUGGAGACAUGCUGGACGCCUUCCUUGCGCAGAUUCAAGAGCAGCAGCUCGCAAGGGCCCAUAUGGACGUCAAUGAACUUUCUGGGGCUCCGCAGAAUGAAUCGCCUAAGACAAGAAAGCCCGUGCGUCGUGCUCGGAGUGCUGCCUCUGCGGCUUCCAAAACUGGAAAGUCGGUGAAACCUCGUAAGGCACCACGCUCCGUGUCAACUGUGCGAGGUUCGAGUACUGCAUCGCAACCGUUGCCGCCCAGGCCUCGUCGUCCCUCCUCACUUGCUGUCCAGAAAACCUACUGUCCCCAUAUAGAACGUCUCUGCCAUAUUCUGCGAAUGGUCGCCUGCCACUCUUGCGCUCCAACUCCUUGCUGUCGUUAGCCAUAGUAUAGAGUUUUAUUUAUUUUGAUGUAACCGUGUUUUCAUUUUAAUUUGAGCUUUAUGCGGCUCGUGUGUGUGUGACAUAAAAAAUAUAAUAACUCUGUAAGAAAAAAAAAGCGAUAAUAUUAAGGUAAAUUUAAGUCGUGUGUGAGUGCGUGUAAAUACAGAAAAAGGAUUGUAAAAUAAAAAAAAAAUGUACAUA